CGGGGUGUGGCCCAGCAGCCUAAGGCAUCUGCUUUGGGAGCAGAGGAUCGUGGGUGCGAAUCCCACCACCCCGA
This 74-nucleotide transfer RNA is filed under the name bacterium. Its description in RNAcentral is "tRNA-Pro". It matches the Rfam family "tRNA". Rfam says of the family: Transfer RNA (tRNA) molecules are approximately 80 nucleotides in length. The record is from RNAcentral.